Cryptotermes secundus is the source of this 244-nucleotide long non-coding RNA. RefSeq lists it as uncharacterized. The transcript is spliced from 3 exons. Lineage: Eukaryota; Metazoa; Arthropoda; Insecta; Blattodea; Kalotermitidae. The record is from RefSeq and is a predicted model, not a curated record.
CUGCACAGCGCAGGGAGCGAGCAACCCCAAGCCGUUGAGAUGAAAAGGAAACAUCCUACAAACUUCUGCCUUGCUCAAGCUGUGAAUCUGCCAGUUGCGUGGUGAAAUAACGUGUGUGGACAUAGGACAUUAUUUCGGCCUGCGUCUUCAGGCGAAGCGAUAAGAAUUUCAGGACCUCUGGUAUCCCAAUUAUCCUCAAGUCUACCAAGGCCUAUGAGAUCGACCAAAAAUCGUCCCGCGAUCG